Molecule: ribosomal RNA, 298 nt
Filed under: uncultured bacterium
Lineage: Bacteria
Description: partial 16S ribosomal RNA
Rfam family: Bacterial small subunit ribosomal RNA
Source: RNAcentral
AACGAACGCUGGCGGCAGGCCUAACACAUGCAAGUCGAACGCGCGUACGCAAUACGCGAGUGGCGCACGGGUGAGUAACACGUGGGAACCAACCCAGAGGUUCGGAAUAACCGCGGGAAACUGCGGCUAAUACCGGAUAUCCCCCAAGGGGGAAGAUUUAUCGCCUCUGGACGGCCCGCGUCCGAUUAGCUAGUUGGUGAGGUAAUGGCUCACCAAGGCGGCGAUCGGUAGCUGGUCUGAGAGGACGACCAGCCACACUGGAACUGAGACACGGUCCAGACUCCUACGGGAGGCAGCA